UGCACGAGUGGUCUGGGGUCUCCAGGGGCGUCGUGUGGCCACCCUCAGGCUUUCUAGGUUCUUGUCAUCACGGCUGUGCAAUGCGAGGGGCUGGACUCUGAAGGGAAACAGAUGCCAGGGGCAUCCCUCCCAGGAUCUCUGGGAAGAGACCCACUACCUAAAAACAACCGAAGAAUAAUGACUAGCGGGUGGAGGGCUUCCAGGGUGCCCUACUGAGCGUCACACCCACCUGACUCUGCUCGUUCCCAGAACACCCAUAGGUGGCGGGUGCUAGUGUUAUCCCCGUUUAAAGGUGAAGGAAACUGAGGCACGAGGGGUGAAAUAACUUCCCCAAAGUCACUCACCCCGUGAGUGGCAGAGCCAGGAUGGGAACCCAGGCAGCCCGGCCCCCGAGCCCCAGCCCCGUAGCUGGCUGUCCAGAUACUCAGGACAGUCGGCCGGUCGGCCCUGACCCAGUGCCCUCAAACCAGGCAGUCGUGAGAGGCAGUGCUGGAAGAGGCACUGAGUCUACUAAUGAGGGUGAAUGAGUCGCUCGCCCUCCCUUCCGUGCCUGCACUGCCUGCCUGGGGACCCUCUCACGUGUAGGUGCCCCUGGACUGGGCGCUCGGGCGCUGUUGAGAGCCACGCCAGCCGUGUCCCUGCCCCAAGGGGGACGAGCUGUUAGGAAGAAGGCCCCUGGUUUGUGGCUAUGUGUAGCGAUGUGCUCAAGCCGGGAGGUGCAGACACGGUCUGGUCUGGGGAGAAGGGCGGAGGGCUUCCUGGAGUGGGCAGCCGGCACCUGGCCUUGAGGCUGGGGGGCGCGGAAUGGUCGGAGAAGGGGCCGAGGCCUUCCAGGAGCCGGGACACGGGGUCCUGGAGCUGGCCAAGGAGAGCGAGCGGCUGCAGGCCAUGAUGGCCCACCUGCACAUGCGGCCCUCGGAGCCCAAGCCCUUCAGCCAGCCGGUGAGCGGUGCCCCCUGCCCGCAGCCCCCCCAGGACCCCUCCACGGCCCCCCCAGGACCCCUCCACGGCCCCCCCAGG
Molecule: long non-coding RNA, 1020 nt
Filed under: Dasypus novemcinctus (nine-banded armadillo)
Lineage: Eukaryota; Metazoa; Chordata; Mammalia; Cingulata; Dasypodidae
Description: lncRNA (ENSDNOG00000051758.1)
Source: RNAcentral